Molecule: ribosomal RNA, 600 nt
Filed under: Salipiger bermudensis
Lineage: Bacteria; Pseudomonadati; Pseudomonadota; Alphaproteobacteria; Rhodobacterales; Roseobacteraceae
Description: bacterial SSU rRNA
Rfam family: Bacterial small subunit ribosomal RNA
Source: RNAcentral
CGGACGGGUGAGUAACGCGUGGGAACGUACCCUUUUCUGCAGGAUAGCCACUGGAAACGGUGAGUAAUACUGCAUACGCCCUUCGGGGGAAAGAUUUAUCGGAGAAGGAUCGGCCCGCGUUAGAUUAGGUAGUUGGUGGGGUAAUGGCCUACCAAGCCUACGAUCUAUAGCUGGUUUGAGAGGAUGAUCAGCCACACUGGGACUGAGACACGGCCCAGACUCCUACGGGAGGCAGCAGUGGGGAAUCUUAGACAAUGGGGGCAACCCUGAUCUAGCCAUGCCGCGUGAGUGAUGAAGGCCUUAGGGUCGUAAAGCUCUUUCGCUGGGGAAGAUAAUGACGGUACCCAGUAAAGAAACCCCGGCUAACUCCGUGCCAGCAGCCGCGGUAAUACGGAGGGGGUUAGCGUUGUUCGGAAUUACUGGGCGUAAAGCGCGCGUAGGCGGAUCAGAAAGUUGGGGGUGAAAUCCCGGGGCUCAACCUCGGAACUGCCUCCAAAACUCCUGGUCUUGAGUUCGAGAGAGGUGAGUGGAACUCCGAGUGUAGAGGUGAAAUUCGUAGAUAUUCGGAAGAACACCAGUGGCGAAGGCGGCUCACUGGCU